GUUAGGAAUAUUCGUCAAUGGGGGAAACCCUGAACGAGCAAUGCCGCGUGAAGGAUGACGGUCCUAUGGAUUGUAAACUUCUGUUGUUAGGGAAGAACGACCUAAGUAGGAAAUGACUUAGGAGUGACGGUACCUUUCAAGAAAGCUCCGGCUAACUACGUGCCAGCAGCCGCGGUAAUACGUAGGGAGCGAGCGUUAUCCGGAUUUACUGGGUGUAAAGGGUGCGUAGGCGGCCGUAAGGGUCAGACGUGAAAUAUGUGGGCUUAACUCACAGACUGCGUUUGAAACUAUAUGGCUUGAGUGAAGUAGAGGCAGGCGGAAUUCCCUGUGUAGCGGUGAAAUGCGUAGAGAUAGGGAGGAACACCAGUGGCGAAGGCGGCCUGCUGGGCUUUAACUGACGCUGAGGCACGAAAGCGUGGGUAGCAAACAGGAUUAGAUACCCUAGUAGUCC
This 451-nucleotide ribosomal RNA is filed under the name uncultured bacterium. RNAcentral's name for it is "bacterial SSU rRNA". It matches the Rfam family "Bacterial small subunit ribosomal RNA", at positions 354 to 796 of the family's 1533-position model. The record is from RNAcentral.